GCUGGGACCCAAGUCAAUAAGGUGUGAGACACUUAAUCUCAGGGUUGUGGGUUCAAGCCCCAAGUUCAGCA
Molecule: non-coding RNA, 71 nt
Organism: Podarcis lilfordi (Lilford's wall lizard)
Lineage: Eukaryota; Metazoa; Chordata; Lepidosauria; Squamata; Lacertidae
Source: the annotation of a GenBank genome assembly